This 373-nucleotide ribosomal RNA is filed under the name uncultured soil bacterium. Its description in RNAcentral is "bacterial SSU rRNA". It matches the Rfam family "Bacterial small subunit ribosomal RNA", at positions 26 to 383 of the family's 1533-position model. The record is from RNAcentral.
AGAUUGAACGCUGGCGGCAGGCCUAACACAUGCAAGUCGAGCGGCAGCACGGGUACUUGUACCUGGUGGCGAGCGGCGGACGGGUGAGUAAUGCCUAGGAAUCUGCCUGGUAGUGGGGGAUAACGCUCGGAAACGGACGCUAAUACCGCAUACGUCCUACGGGAGAAAGCGAGGGGACCUUCGGGCCUUGCGCUAUCAGAUGAGCCUAGGUCGGAUUAGCUAGUUGGUGAGGUAAUGGCUCGACCAAGGCGACGACUCCGUAACUGGUCUGAGAGGAUGAUCAGUCACACGUGGAACUGGACGUACGACGGUCCAGACCUCCGUACGGGAGCAGCGUAGGUGGGGAAUUAGUUAGGACAAGUGGGACGAAGCC